RNAcentral lists this ribosomal RNA (373 nucleotides) under uncultured organism. RNAcentral's name for it is "partial 16S ribosomal RNA". It matches the Rfam family "Bacterial small subunit ribosomal RNA", at positions 527 to 896 of the family's 1533-position model. The record is from RNAcentral.
GUAGGUGGCAAGCGUUGUCCGGGAUUAUUGGGCGUAAAGCGCGCGCAGGCGGUUCUUUAAGUCUGAUGUGAAAGCCCACGGGCUCAACCGUGGAGGGUCAUUGGAAACUGGAGAACUUGAGUACAGAAGAGGAAAGCGGAAUUCCACGUGUAGCGGUGAAAUGCGUAGAGAUGUGGAGGAACACCAGUGGCGAAGGCGGCUUUCUGGUCUGUAACUGACGCUGAGGCGCGAAAGCGUGGGGAGCAAACGGGAUUAGAUACCCUGGUAGUCCACGCCGUAAACGAUGAGUGCUAAGUGUUAGGGGGUUUCCGCCCCUUAGUGCUGCAGCUAACGCAUUAAGCACUCCGCCUGGGGAGUACGGCCGCAAAGGCUG